RNAcentral lists this ribosomal RNA (462 nucleotides) under uncultured bacterium. RNAcentral describes it as "partial 16S ribosomal RNA". It matches the Rfam family "Bacterial small subunit ribosomal RNA", at positions 28 to 507 of the family's 1533-position model. The record is from RNAcentral.
GACGAACGCUGGCGGCGUGCUUAACACAUGCAAGUCGAGCGGAAAGGCCCUUCGGGGUACUCGAGUGGCGAACGGGUGAGUAACACGUGAGUAACCUGCCCCAGACUUUGGGAUAACCCUCGGAAACGGGGGCUAAUACCGGAUACGACACAGCUUCGCAUGGGGUCUGUGUGGAAAGUUUUUCGGUUUGGGAUGGGCUCGCGGCCUAUCAGCUUGUUGGUGGGGUGAUGGCCUACCAAGGCGACGACGGGUAGCCGGCCUGAGAGGGCGACCGGCCACACUGGGACUGAGACACGGCCCAGACUCCUACGGGAGGCAGCAGUGGGGAAUAUUGCACAAUGGGCGGAAGCCUGAUGCAGCGACGCCGCGUGAGGGAUGACGGCCUUCGGGUUGUAAACCUCUUUCAGCAGGGACGAAGCGUAAGUGACGGUACCUGCAGAAGAAGCGCCGGCCAACUACGUG